This 300-nucleotide ribosomal RNA is filed under the name Moniliophthora roreri. RNAcentral describes it as "LSU rRNA". It matches the Rfam family "Eukaryotic large subunit ribosomal RNA", at positions 1 to 255 of the family's 3401-position model. Lineage: Eukaryota; Fungi; Basidiomycota; Agaricomycetes; Agaricales; Marasmiaceae. The record is from RNAcentral.
UUUGACCUCAAAUCAGGUAGGACUACCCGCUGAACUUAAGCAUAUCAAUAAGCGGAGGAAAAGAAACUAACAAGGAUUCCCCUAGUAACUGCGAGUGAAGAGGGAAAAGCUCAAAUUUGAAAUCUGGCAGUCUCUGGCUGUCUGUUCUUGAUUCAUGAAUAACAUACCACAUAGGACUCACAGAGAGGAAGACGAAAUCACGCGAGUCGUGAAUUCGAGCGAGAUGGGGCAGCGAGAGCAAGAUGACGGGGAGCUAGUACCCCAGUGUAUUUUCCUCAAAGGCCUGGUGGCGGGAAGCUA